Molecule: transfer RNA, 80 nt
Filed under: Candidatus Latescibacterota bacterium
Lineage: Bacteria; Pseudomonadati; Candidatus Latescibacterota
Description: tRNA-Leu
Rfam family: tRNA
About the family: Transfer RNA (tRNA) molecules are approximately 80 nucleotides in length. Their secondary structure includes four short double-helical elements and three loops (D, anti-codon, and T loops).
Source: RNAcentral
GAGAGUGGCGGAACUGGCAGACGCGCCAGACUUAGGAUCUGGUGGGUACUCCCGUGGGGGUUCGAGUCCCCCCUCUCGCA